GCCCUGGAGGACCUGGCCGGCUCCGCGGGAAGCUGUACUCAGAGCGCGCGGCCGCCCUCUGGCAGGGAGGAGUUCGUUGCACUUUUGAGGGUUCUUCACGAAGACAUCCAAUACAUAGAAAACAAGUAACAGCAACAGUAACGAAUUUUUAAAUAUUAAAAUUGCUGGGGAACACGACGGAUCCUGCAGCUGCUCGGCUGUCCCGGUCGUCAGUGACGCUAGGGCUCCGCACCGUACCCUGCAUACCGUAGGUGCUCACGAAACGUUCGUGAGUUCCCUGCUCUGAGGAAACAAGCUUAAAAACUCAGAAUCUAAGGUGUGAGUCUCCGCAAACCUGCUUGUUGGGCAGCGUCCCCCGCCCGGGCUAGCCCUGCACGCCCCACCCCGGAGCCACGCUUCUCCAGCCGGGACCCCUGCCUCCUUCCAGGCUAUUCUCGGAACCGCAGCCAGAGGGAAUUUUUUUUUCCUUUCCUGAAACGUAGAGCAGAUCUGGUUACUCUUCUGCACAACGCCCUAAAAUCUAGGGCCCUUCCCAUCCCUCAGAAUUUACAUCUAAUUCUCAGCUCCCCUCCGGCUUGCUGUAGCCAUCCUGGCUUUUGUUUAGCACAGCACUUACUGUUAGUGACAUUAUAUUGUAUAUUAUUAACAUAUUUGUGUUUUACAUCCCUCACUAGACCCCCAGGAAAGAGGCUUUGAUGUGUUGCCUGCUGCAAGGCUGGCUGCAUAAUUUGUGGAGCUCAGAGAAAAGUGCGGAGCUUCCUUGUUCAAAAAACAGAAAGAAAGUGCCUCUGAGGUCAUAAAAUAUAAAACUUUCUCUUUCCUCUCAGUUUCUCUCUUUUCAUAGUGUUUUUAUGUGUUAUUUAAUAUCAUUCCAAGAAAAAUUUAGAUUUAAAUUGUUAGCAUGAAGUUCACCAUCCAUCUUUACGUUGUGCAAUGCCAGUUUUAAAUACUAAUAUAAGUGCACUGAUCUCAUAUGUGGAAUCACAGAAAUUAUGCAAUUUGUACUUCAUAGCUUAUACAUGCAUAUAGAUUUUGUUUUUACCAGAACCACGCUGGUAAAAACAGAUGCUGCACAAAGUGAACUUGCCCGUUUUCAUCGCACUUUACGUGCACGAAUUCUACCUCUACUCUCGACCUGGGACUCACCGAUGCGUAAGGAAGGACUGAAAAGCAAAAGAACUAUGGACUGGCCUUUUGGCAUGAUCAGGUGUCUAAUAUAAAGAAGUGCAUGAAUAAGAAAAUAUAUGAUAUGAGUGAUGGUUAAUACUGACUGUCAACUUGAUUGGAUUGAAGGAUGCAAAGUAUUGAUCCUGGGUGUGUCUGUGAGGGUGUUGCCAAAGGAGAUUAACAUUUGAGUCAGUGGGCUGGGAAAGUUCGACCCACUGUUAAUCUAGAUGGACACCAUCUAAUCAGAUGCCAGUGCAGCUAGAAAUGUAAAGCAGACAGAAAAAUGCGAAAAGAGAGACUGGCCUAGCCUGCCAGCCUACAUCUUUCUCCCACGCUGGAUGCUUCCUGCCCUCGAACAUCAGACUCCAAGUUCUUCAGUUUGGGACUUGGACUGGCUCUCCUUGUUCCUCAGCUUGAAGACUGCCCAUUGUGGGACUUGUGAUCAUGUGCCAUGAUAAAUAAGCCAGUUUGAGUCACUUGGUCUAAUAUCGAGACCACGAACAUAUUGAUCACAGAAUGUGUUAGGUAAGCAUGUUGUUGACUGAAGUGUAAGUAAGGUGCUCACCUUAAAUGCAUGUGCCAACAUCAGCAUCUUCAGAAGAGUCUCUUUCCCUUUGGGACAUCGAGGUGACUGACAGUUAAACAAGCCGUAUUUGGAGUAGGUGUACAAUCAGCCUCCUUCCAGUUCUCCUUGGCACUUUCCAGUUCACAAAGGACACUUCACUCCUUUUUGGUUUUUUUGAGACAGGGUCUCACUCUGUCACCCAGGCUAGAGUACGGUGGUGAGAUCACCCCUCACUGCAACCUCCGUCUCCUGGGCUCAAGUGAUCCUCCCACCUCAGCCUCCCAAGUAGCUGGUACCACAGGUGCAUGCCACCACACCUGGCUGAUUUUUGUAUUUUGUGUAGAAGGGGGUAUUGCCCUAUCGCCUAGGCUGGAAGGCUGUUAAGAGGAGAACUGAGCAAUGAGGAUCCCAUCCUGGACUUCGCAGACUUGCUGUGCUUUUGAAUGCUUCUCUCACGGUCAGAGCCUGCACUGGAAAAGAUGGCAUUUGGGACAACACACCUGGCUGCUGCCCCAGGAAGAAAGUAGUGAACACUGGAGGACUGUCAGCCCUGUCAGUUUCUGGAAAUGUGCCCUGAGUUUAAGUUCUGGUUUCAGAUUAUGAGGAGCAAAAUUACUGAGUAGGCCUCCUCCUAGAACAGGAAGCUCUUCCCGCUGUGGGCCAGUGGCUCUGACAUAUCACAGAGCCUGCUCUGAUGAAGGCAGCAGGAAUGAUUUCAAAACAAGCAAAACCAAAGAAAACUGUUUGACAAUGGAAGUAAUAGAGGCUCAUUUUAGAAAACAUAGACAUAAAGAAAAAAAGAAGAAUCUUCCAUAACCCACAGAUUAUAACUACUUACAUACCUUCCAGGCUUUAUUUCUCUUUUUUAAAAAACAAAUGUUAAAGUGGAAUUUACCUAUAAAAAAGAUACAGGUCCUAAGAGCACAGCUUGGCUUGAUCAAUUUUCUCAAGUUGAAUGCACCUGUGCAAUCAGUGCCAGGCUGAACACACAGCCUCAGCAGCGCCUGGAAGCUUUUCCAAGCCUCCUUAUUGUCAUCCCUCCCUCCCCAGGGGUAGCUGCGAUCACUGUAGCUUUGGUCUGAACUAUAUAUAAAUGCAAUCAUGCCACGUUAUGUUUCUGAGACUCACCCACACCCUGGCAAGCCAUUGCAGUUUGUUUAUUCUCAAUGUUCUACAAGCAGCAGUCCCCAAGCUUUUUGGCACCGGGGACCAGUCUCAUGGAGGACGAUUUUUCCGCAGACCAGGAUAACAGAAGUUCAAGAGGAAAGGACAGUGAGAGACCAUGACUAAAGAAUUACUCCGUGAACAACUCAGGAGGACCAGCUAUGAUUUCACUCUCAUUCAAAAAAGAGAAAUAAUAUUUCUUUCAGCUGCUACCCAUAAAAUAUUUUUGAAUGUGUGUACAAUGUUCAUGCUGUAAUGGCUGCUCUAUCAUGAAGGAUGUGUUGACACCUCGUGGGUGGCUUUUCACAAUCCCCUUGGACACAGAUUGGGGGAUUGACGGCCCCAUCCCCUCAUUUUCCACACCGAGGGGCAGUUGGGAUAUGCAUAAAAUCUUGUUCUCUAGUUAGGACCUGUUGCUAUAAAUCUAGCAUCAAGAGUAUCACUAUUUUCUAAACACUUUGCCAGACAGCCUUCGGAGUAUAAUUUUCUGAAGUUUAUAAAGCAUAACUCAUACACACACCUAGUGACCAUGUUCUGAAGGUAUAUUUAACUCCUGCAUGAGGGAACAGGCAGGAUGAAAGUGGGUUCUAAGGAAGAGACUAGCAUAUAUGAUCAACGGGGAAAAAUGAAGAGUAAGCUUGAAACCGCCUUUGCAAAAAUUAUAACCGAGGAGAUUAUGACAGUGAAGGAGAUCAGACCUAACCGACCCCAUCUUGCUUCUAACCUUUAAGCUGUCCUUGUUCAUUCCUGGGUGUAGGCCGAACUAACUUUGGGAAGGAAUUUGUUCGUGGUUUGACUCUGAAACAAAAAAAUUGAUAAUAGCCCUUUCCCGAAAAGACCGCCUUCUUGCCUGGGGACCAGUCUGCCUUUGCAGGACCAACAAAUUAACUACGAGAUUAGAAAUUACAGUUUAGGGGUCCUGCAGCCUCUGACUCCAAGAGUCUGACCCUCCCCACAUUGCUUCUGGGGAUAACAUCACUAUUAUAAAACCUAAGAUCAGUGCUUGAGAUAUUUUGCAGACCCUGCACUGGAUGGAUCAGCUGACACCACCCAGACCCGUAAUCUGGAUCAACCAGUUCUGCCAUCCCACCCAG
Long non-coding RNA from Homo sapiens (human), 3990 nucleotides. Ensembl annotates it as COPS8 divergent transcript. Its record names the gene COPS8-DT. Lineage: Eukaryota; Metazoa; Chordata; Mammalia; Primates; Hominidae. The record is from Ensembl.